RNAcentral lists this long non-coding RNA (14140 nucleotides) under Vitis vinifera (wine grape). RNAcentral's name for it is "long non-coding RNA (VVIN_LNC003956)". The record is from RNAcentral. Lineage: Eukaryota; Viridiplantae; Streptophyta; Magnoliopsida; Vitales; Vitaceae.
GUAUUUCCAACCUUAAAGGAGAUCCCACUUUCUAAACUUCUGAUGGCACUUACCAUUUCAAUUGACUUAAUAAAAGAAACCUGUUAACCCAAUGAACGUUGUCUGGUGGGUCCCAUGGUCUUAUUCUCUUGUCUCUUCCAAUUAGAAACAGCCGCCUAUGCCAUUUCUUCGUGCUCCCAGUGCGAAACCUCGUUUGCAGCCUCUACGUGUUCGGUGGGGUCAGCGGUGAUCCAAAAUACGGAGAUGGCGGAGGAGCGGUUGGCGAAGGCGGAGCCGCUUUUAGGUGCCGGCGUAGGUGAUAAAUCUGGCGGAUCUGCUGCAUCAAAGUGCGAUUCUGAUCCAACACGGACUGCAUCCGCCGAAGUCAGUCAUUGAAGGUUUCCCAGACCUCAGCGCUACCCCUCUCUGCCUCUCGCCGGAGUCAUCUCCUUCGUUUGCAGGGCUGGAACUUGCGCAACGACGAUCAGCGGUCGCAAAGCUUUAUCGACUGCGAUGAUGGCGGUUAUGGUGGUGGCGGCGCCGGAAACCAUUGGAGGCGUCUUCGUCCAUGUUAGAUUCGGCCGGCGAUGGUGAGGAGUGCAGCAGCGUUGCAAUGUGGAGAUGAUGGUUCCGACGGCAGUGUAGCGGUGCAGGUAGACGAGAUCGCAUCGUCGGUGGUCGGCAGUGCAUGAGGAGUGGUCGUCGGAGGUGAAAUCGAAACCGACGCCGUCUAAACCUGGAUCAGACAUGAAGGUUCCAUGCAGGGCAGCGUCGUUGCUGUUAUCAGAGAAGAAGUCCGGGUCCAGAGGCGGCACUGCCAGUGGAUGCAUUCUUGAUGUGCCUCCCCAGCCAGUGUGCCAUUGGUCGCGAUGAAGUGUGGAGAAUGAUAAUGGCGGUGAUUGAUCAGUAUCAAGACCUAGUCUAUGUGUGGCUUCGAUGAGUUGUUGCUUUUCUAUGGAGAUGCGGUGAAUUCGUGUAGACAUGCAAAUGACUACUAUAAAAAAGGCUUGUUUUCUCCAACUGAUAGCGUCCCUGUGGAGGUGAUGCUCGCUGCUGGUAGAGAUGCAUCUCUCUUGAAAUGACCUAGCUUCCUACCAUGCUCUCUGCAUUUUCCGCAACGGAGUCUUGAAGUACCCAGAUUCUUGAAAAGAUCUAGAAUGACUACUAGCGAUUUGACACCCUUCUACAUUAAUAGGAACUGAUCUAGGAACAUUCAAACUUUGGUAAGCACAUCUAACCUGUAAUACUAGAUCCGCUUUUGUUUUGAAUGCUACAAUUGCUAUGAUCUAAUGGCCCUAGGAGUUUUGCAUGCACCUAACAAGAUUCAAGGCCAAGGAAUAGAGUAAUCCUGGUUUUCUUACAAAUGUUAAGGUAGAGCCCUUAAAAGUAGUGACAUGAUGUAACAUUUAAUUUCAUUAUAUAUUAUAUUAGUUUCCAUUUCUAUCCUAUUUACAUUAUAUGAUAUAUUAGUCAAGCCUAAUCACUUAUAUCGUGCGAGACUUGAGUGCAUUAGAAGUUGUAUGGAAGAUUCAAAUCAUGAGUUUCUUACAAGUUGAUAUGUUGAUUCAUAGUUGGUUCAUGGAUUUAGGCUAUCUAGUAGAAACUAUGAUACACUACCUUCUAAUUGGUGGGAUUACCUGUUUUAGUCAUCAGGAUGGAUUUUCCAUGAUGAGUGUAUGAUUACAACUAAAAUAUGUGCUUCAAUGGCACACAAGGACUAUAAUUUAUGCAAUAUAAAAAGUGUUAAUCACUCAACUUAACUCAAAUUGAUGCUAAAACCCUAUCCAAUGAUCUAAAUUCUACUUAGCCUAAUAUCAAGUUUAAAGGAUGAAAAAGGUAUAAGUUACAAGGAUCAUUUUUCAGCCAUGGUAGAGCAGGGGGUUAAGUGCGCUCAAAUGAGAGAUUCAAAAUUUGUGAAGCAUGAUGAGAGCUUAAGCAAAGGAAAAUAGAGUAACACGCAACAUGAUAAAUAAGAAAUGGAAGUUAUGAAGAGAGUUAAAGAGCAAGAAAACAUGAGAAAGAAGGUUGGAGGUCAUAACUUGAAGUUUAAAAUGAAAUUCAUAAUUUAAAAUCUGGUAGCAAUGCAUGGAAGCUUUAAGGUAAAUUUUGUAGAAAUUUUAAAGAUCACUUUGGGGCAAGCUACAAAUGGUUCCAAAGCUUGAGAAAUCAAAAGUCCAACACUUAAAAUGGUUCACGAAUCAGAGUUGAAGUGAGAAAGUUAAGACCAAUUGAAACUAGCUGGGCAAAAGAAUAUGUUGAAUUCAUAUUCAACUUUUUCAAAUUCGAAUUGAACGUAUGAAUUCAAAAAUGCUCUCCAAUUCAAAUUCUUUCAGUACCCGAGAGCAAAAACCAACUUAUGAAUUUGAAUCCACUUUCAAAAUACACCCAAUUCAAAUUAAUCAAUAGCCACUUCAAGAACGAGUUUCCUUCACUUUGAAUUUAGCAUUUUUGGCGCUCUCCAACUAGAGAUGGGGCCCGAUCAUUUAGAAAUUGUGAUUUAUUAUUAUUAUUCUUUUAUAAAUUUUUAGGUAAUUUUUUUAGAAUAAGUGACUAAUAGGAAUAUCACUUGUUAAGUACUUUCAUUUUCCUAUAAAAAUUCAAUGUUUUAAGGUUUUGAGGAUUUCUUAAAGAUUCUUGAGAAAGAAGACAUUGAAAAAUUCUUAGUUGAUUUUUCUUCUCUUUCUUAUUAAUGUAAUCAUUUUUAUUAUUAUUUUCAAUCCAAUAAUGGUUCUUUUUCUUUAUUUAAUGGAAUGUAUUUUUUACAACACCCUCAUGAGAGGCCAAAAAACAAUCUUGGGGUGUGAAACAUAAAGACCUAGGGUUAGAGCUUAGGAGAAAAAAUGAGUAAAAAAAAAAGACUAAAAAUAAUUUAAUGAAAGGUUAAGGAAUAAACAUUAAAAUCAAAAGACUCUCCAAGGUUAGUUUGAAUUAGGAGAUAAUACAAAAGCCCAUUACUUGAGACGGGUGACUUUUUGUGAAUCUUGAUCACCAAUUAUCUUGGUUCUUACAUUUGUUACCUACACUAAGACAAAUCUACAAGAAGUAGUGUGAGCCUUAAAUCCUUGACCUAGACCCAGGUUUCAAAUCUAUUCAUCAAUUAGUAAUUCAAUUAUCAAAUAAAAAAAUUUAAGGUUUGGAUGCAACACUGAGUUAUAGAACUCAGGUUGAUCUAACUUAACCCAAGAUUAUAAAUACCCUAAGAUCUCUUUAACUUGAAUACCCUUAUAUUAGUCCAAGAUCCCACCUAAAGUUGAAUUGUGGAACCCUUAAUCUUAAAUCAUUUGAAUUAAAAAACAACCUCAUAAGCUAUUUGGCUAUAAAACUUUAGUUCAAGACUCAAAAUUGAGGACUCCAUCUCUAAGCCAAUUUAGAUAUAUUAUGAUAACUCUACAAUAGUUUUCUUCUCUAAAAAACAAUAAGUACUCUAAUAAGUCAAAAGAUAUUGAGUUAACAUUGGAGUAUCAUAUGGUUAGAAAGAUUAUACUUUCAAAAGAUGUCCAUCAAACACAUUGGCAUAGGCAUGACAAUAGUAGAUCCUUUAACAAAAGCUAUAGGUCUUACUGAUGUUGUACAAUUAUUUUGGACAUACAUGAGUAAUAAAAUUUCUUAAUCCUAUGCACAUUUUAUGGGUAAUAGUUAACAGGAUUGUCCCAAUUUUUACAUUAAGGUUAGGAUCAUGGUUUAUUACUUCCUUAUUUAGAUUAUCUACAUGAGUUUGUCAGUUGUGUGAUACAUGGAAGGAAUCAUAUAUGAUAAAAUGAUAUGAGACCAUUGUGAUUCAUAUUGGUGACCUCAUAAGAUUAGCAUGUUACACUCAUAAUAUUUUUAGGUGGUCACUUAUUGAAUCCAUAAAGGUUUCAAGUCUCCAUGUAGUCAUUUGUUAAAGUGGGAGAAUGUUGGAAACUUAUUAUCACCUUCAUGAAAACAUUAUACCGAUUAGGAAUUUGAGACACUUUCCAACACACAUGAAGUUACACUCCCAUAUUCCAAGGGUUCAUGACUUUGGUCAUGAACCUAAUGUAACUAUAUUUCUCAUAUUAUACAUCUAACAUAUAUGACAAGGUUAAAUGUAAAAAAAUAUAAAGUAUCAUAACCAAAGUCAUGAACCUAGUAAAUUAUGCACAAGGUAAAAAGAUCAAAGUCAUGUACCUACAUUAAAGUUCUAUAUACACUGAAUAUUACAUGAGAUUAUGAGUAAAUACAUAUAAUCUAAGGGGAAGCAUACAUUUAUAAGUCUAGUACCUUAACAUUAUAUAGAAAAGACUUUAUGUCUAUCUCUCCACUCAUCCUAAGUUUGGGAUUUCUCGCUAUUUGUGCAAACAUUAAGAAGAGAAUUCGGAGAAAGAAGUUAUAAGGGCCUAACACCAACACAAAGUGACAAGAUGUUGUCUAAAGAGAUAUAAUUUUGUAAACAAUAUACAUAAGGUUAUUUUUAUAACAAUAGUACAAGGUGAGUUUUAUGUAUUUUUUUUUUUAUUAAAUUAGAUUGAAAGAACUUAUUUAUUUGAUUUUCUAAAACAUUUAGUAUACCGUAAAAAGACAGAAAUAAAAUGAGAAUAAAGAAAAAUUAUAAUAUCACAUAUCAAAAGGAGAAAUUAAAAUCUCAACCAAAGAUCUUGUUUUCUUAUAGUAUUAAUGAAUUUUUUAUUUUUUUAUUCUAAAAAACAAUUCAAAUAUUUAAAAAAAAUACAAAAUUAAAUGAUUUCUCAAUCUCAUUUCAUUAUGGUUGGACUUCAAAUUAUAAAGUGGAGUCAAAACAUCAGUUUGUUGAACUUUGGCCCAUCAAAAAGUAAAUAAAGGACUUAAGGAAAAGAGUUGAAACGGGAGACUUUCUUUUUGCACUAUUGAGUUUUGCAUUUGUACUAGGAAUGCAAAAGAAUGAAGGCCAAUUAUUCAAUUGUGCGUUAUAUAUAUAUAUACUAGGAAUGGAUGGGGGAAGGGAAGGGUUUGUCUUCAUCCUCUGAAGAAGAGAAAUGAAAAAAGACAGAGAAGGCAUCUGAGAGGGAAACCUUAGUUGUGCCUUGAUAUCCUAUUUGCAAAGCAUCUUAAGCUUCUUUAGACUUUGCUGUUGUCGAGGAAAGAUAGUUUCUACUUGUUGGAUAAAAAACAAUGCCUUAGCAUCUUUCUUUUGAACGUCUCUAAUAGCCUCUACAAGAAUUUCCACUUUUUCAUAACCCUUAUCUACAAGCUCCCACAAACGUUGGGAGAUAAAAGAAAAGUCCUCAUCUUCAUACUCCAAACUUCAUAUCCACUUCCUUGAAAAAAUGAAAUGCUAGGCUAAGUUGGGAUAAGACCAACGUUGUUUACCAUUUGUUUAACCUGGCUUUGAUACCAGAUGAAAAUAUAGUUUGGGGUACUUCUUCAAUCUUCAAUUAAACCUGUCCAAUCACUAUAAGAAAAACCAUAUAGCUAAAGAUUGUUAGAAUUAGUAUACCAAAUGCCAUACGAGCUUGUUCCCCUUAAAUAUCUUAACACUCUCUUGGCUGCACCAUGAUGAAGCUUGCUUGCACUUUGCAUAAACCUUGACAUGAGACUUGUUGCUUGCUUAAUAUCUAGCCUAGUGUUGGUGAGAUACAAUAAACUACCAAUCAAACUUUGAUAUUCUUGAACACCAAUUUUCUCUUCCCCAUCAUUCAAACAAAAUUUCUUAUUAGUGUUCAUAGAAGUUUCCAUUGGAUUACAAUUCUUCAAUUUAAACUUCUCAAGAAGAUCAUUUGCAUACUCCUCUUGAGAAAUAAAAAUUAUCGUAUCACAUUGUUUCACUUUCAACCCAAGAAAAUAACUCAUCAAGCCAAGAUCAAUCAUCUCAAAUUCACCAAUCAUUAUCUUUUUAAAAUCCUCCAUUAAAACAAUGUCAUUGCUAGUAUAAAUCAAAUCAUCAACAUAAAGGCAAAUAAUAAGUAUCUCACUCAUAUCUCUUGUCUUAACAUACGAGGUCGGCUCAUUUUUGCUCCUCUAAAACCCAUGUUAUUUGAAGUGCCCAUUAAUACAAUCAUACCUGCCCUUAGUGCUUGUUUUAAGCCAUAAAGGGCCUUUUUUAAUCGAUACACUUUCUAUUCUUCACCCAUAAUUUUAUAAAUCUGAGGUUUCUGAACAUAGACUUCUUCAAUCAAUAAACCAUUUAAAAAAGCAGACUUCACAUCAAAUUGAAAGACAUUCCAUUUAUAAUCUGCAAUAAUAGCCAAAACAAUCCUAAUGCUAUCAAAUCUAGCAACAAGAGCAAACAUUUCUUCAAAAUGAAUACCUUCACACUGCAUGUAGCCUUUUGCAACUAACCUUGCUUUUUUACUUUUGACUUGAACCAUUUGAGCAAUAUUUGAUUUUGUAGAUCCCUUUUAGUCCAACAAUUUCCUUGCCAUUUGGUAUAUCUACUAGCUACCAUGUUUAAUUCCUUUUCAAAGCCUCAAUUGCUUCAUUUAUAGCAUUACACCAUUCUUUAUACUUCACAACUUCUUGAAAGUGAUGUGGCUUAUUAAUUUCAAUGAAUUAACAUCUUUCACUCUGCUCAUGUAUUUCUUUCAAGGACCUCAUCUUCCUCGGCGGUGUUUUAGGAGAGGAGAGAGAAAAAGAACUUGAAGAUGUUGAUGAAGCAUAUCUAAAAGUACUUGUGAAAGGAUAAAAAUUAUCACCAUUUGGAAUUUCAUGCCUUAAAGGAGUCUCUACCAACUCAUCAUCUUAUAGAAGUACACCUAGAGAAUUUUGAGAUCCCCAAUUCCAAGCAUUUUUCUCACUAAACACAACAUCACAACUAAUAAUUAGUUACUUGGUGAUAAGAUCGAUUAUAAAAUCCAUAUCCUUUAGUUUCAACACUUUAACCCACAAUAUAUGCAUUUCACACUAUUAUCAUUGAGUUUAUGUUUUUUUUUUGGAAGGCACAAAAGCGUAUGAAACACAACCAUAAAAUCUUAAACUGGGUUACCUUAGGUUUCCAUUCAUUCCAUGCUCCAAAAGGAGGUUUGGUAGUGUAGUGCUAAUGUAAGACUCCUAUUAAGAAUGUAAGCUGCAAUAUGAAUUGCUUCAACCUAGAAACAAUUUGGAAGUCCCUUUGCUUUCAACAUACUCUUAUCCAUCUCCAUGAUACUUCUAUUUUUCCUUUCUGUGACCCUAUUUUGCUAAGGAGUGUAGCUAAUUGUUAACUACCUCUAGAUACCAUAAUCUUCACAAAAUUUAUCGAACUCAUUAGGAUAAAAUUCACCACCACAAUCUGUUUGCAAUAUCUUCAAGGAAAAACCAUUGUUUUUUUCGACAUGGUUCUUGAAUCUCUUAAAGAUAGGUAAUGCUUUUGAUUUUUCUUUGGCAAAAUAGACCCAAGUCAUCCUACUAAAAUCAUUCACAAAAACAACAAAAUAUUUGUUAUUGUUAAGAGAAUAAGUUCUCAUUAGCCCACAAAUAUUUGCAUGCACAAAUUCAAUUGGUCUUGUAGCUUUUCUUGCUUCCCUUUUGGAAAAGCAUCCCAAUGCUGCUUCCCAAACACAUAACUCUCACAGGUUUCAUCUACAUGUUUUACAAAAGGCAAACCAUGCACCAUAUUUUCUUUGGCUAAAUUUCCCAAACUCUUAAAGUUUAGAUGCCCAAAUCUAUGAUGCCACAACCAAUUAUCGUCAAUCAACAAAACACUACAUGGAUUUGUAUCACCACCAAGGGUUAGAGGAAAAAAAUUGUUUUUGGCAAUAGGAGCUUUCACUAACAAAUUCUUUUUGGUUUUAUCUUGAAAUAUUGAAUAUGAUAAAUCUUAAAAAACAAGUGAGUAGCCUUCUAAUAGAAACUAUCCCACACUUAACAAACUUGCAUCUAAAUCAAGAACAUAAAGAACAUUUUUUAUGCAACUCAUUUCACUUAAUUUUACCUUUAUAGUAUCUCCACCUUCUUCUUCUCUGAUUGCUUCAUCACUCAUCUUCACCUAAGUGGUCACCGAUUUAUCUAGAUUUGUAAAGGCAUCCAAGUUUGUUGUCAUGUGAUUACUACACACACUGUCUAUAUACCAAACAUCUUAAACACAUUCUUCAAUAGAAUAAAAAGUAAGAAAUAAGAUUUCAAAUUCUUUAUUGUCUUUUUCUUACUCCUCAACAAAUUUGACAUGUUUUUCUUUUAGUCUGCAAUACUUUUUUAUGUGGUCAAAUUUCUUACAAUAGUAGCAUUGGAUUGACUUAUGAUUGUAACUUUCACCUUUUUCACCAAACUCAUUUUGGUAGUGGUUACUUGAAUGACCACCACCACUUCCACCUAUUCCACUUCUUUUGCUUCUUCUACCAUGAUAGGAAUGCUCUCCAUGACUCCUUUUGUUGCUAGAUUCCUUGUCCUUGCCACCUACCUUAUCUUUAGAAAACUGCAAUUUAAUCUCCUUUUGUUGCUAGAUUCCUUGUCCUUGCCACCUACCUUAUCUUUAGAAAACUACAAUUUAAUCUGAAAUGCAUUUUCAAUGAAUGUUUCUUCAUAUCUCUUCAUCUUUUCUUCAUGGGAUUGAAGUGAACCAAGCAACUCGUCAAUAGUUAGUAUACUUAAAUCUUUGGACUCUUCUAUUACUGAAACCACAUGAUUAUAAUUCUUAGCCAAGCUUCUCAAAAAUUUUCCAACCGCUUUUUCAUCCAAUAAUCGUUUACUAUAUUUUCGAAUUUGGUUCACAAUUUCCAAAAUAUGACAAAAGUAGUCAUGCAAACAAUCACCAUCUUUCAUGAGUGACAUUUCAACUUCCUACGAAGAGUUUGAAGUUUGACGACAAGUACCUUGGUUGUGCCUUGAUAUCCUAUUUGCAAAGCAUCCCAAGCUUCUUCAGAAUUUAAUAGCUUCUGAAACAGCUUGUUGGAUGAAAAAAUAAUGUUUUUCCAUCUUUCUUUGGACUGUCUUUGAUAUCCUCUUCUUUGUCAUCCUUAUCCACAAGCUCCCACAAAUGUUGGGAGAUAAAAGGAGUCCUCAUUUUUGUGCUCCAAACUUCAUAUCCACUUUCUUAAAAAAGUGUUUAUGAUAGUGUGAGUUGAAAUAAAACCAACAUUGUUUACUAUUUGAUUAACUUGACUCUAGUACUAGAUGAUAAUCCAAAGGAAGUUGUCUUUUCUACUAUGUAGAGAGAAGUAAAAUAAAAUAAAAUAGAGCAAAAAAAAACUUUGGAUAAGGCAAGAAUUCUGAUCCAAAUUGGACUCUUAAUUUUUUUAUUCAUGAAUCUCAAUUUAAAUACAUAAUUAAAUUGUAGCAGACUCCUAAGUGAAUCAACUAGUAGCCCACUGUGAAAAAUUAACUAAUUUACUUAGUAGUUCCUAAAAAAUUAGGAUAGCACGUUCCACGUCUUAUUUGACUCAAACUCCAAUCACAACCAAUCUAUCAAAUAUCAGCAUUAAUUCCAACAAGUUUGCUGCAGGUGAUGCUCGUGUACUUCAACUGUGAAAGGAUACAAGAUCGCCCUCAAAAUUCAGGGAGUCGUUCUUCCCAACGUGGAGAGCGAUUCUAUGGUCUUGAAUUUGAAAUCCAACCAGUCGGAUUUGCACGAUGCUAGGGUAAUGUUUUCCCCAAUUUUUCGAUGGAAAUCCAUACCCUUCCUUUCAAAUGCUCUUCUCGGCUCCAUGGAGAUGAGAUGGUGGUGAGGCAGUGUAUUUUUCAUGAUGUUGGCACUUGAUUAAAGUUUUAUUUGAACAAGAAAAGUUUGCAAAGGUGGGUUUUUCCCACCGUAGUGCAGUAUGUUAUAAUUCGUUGCUCCCAUGGCCUCAUUUUGAUUAUGUUAUUUUGUCGUGGUUGUUAGAUUUGGAGAUGGGUUCUAGGUGGACUGUUUCAUUUCAUGUGUUGAAUUUAAGUUACCCAAAUUAUAUCAUGCUUGUUACUUAUUUGAUGAAAUGUUUGAGUAGUAUUUUCGUAAAUUCUGCAUGUGGAAAUAGAAAGAUAUUGGAUGCGUGAAAAUGGAAAUGGAAAAGAUCCCAUUGAGAGAAAAUUAAAGAGGAUCAAGCAAUCCCAAGAUGAGAGCCCGUUAGUGUGAAAGACAUCAAAAUAUACCUACGUGAGCCUCCACAUGAGUAUAUCGAAGUGCGGCUAUACAUCCUUUAGUGAAAUCCUGAGAACAAGGUUGCAUUGUAUGGAUGAAUAAGCAUAUUUACAUGCACUGAGUGGUAUCUGUUGAGAUCUUUGAUUUAUUGAUUUGCAUAGAGUUGUGAGUAAUUGGAAAUCUUCCAUAUAUGGUGAUUAUAAAAAUGUUUGGUUUUGGGAUACAUUGCUCAUGUGUGUAAUAAUGUGAUUUAUUUAUGUGUUUUUCCCAAGGUAGAAAAACCCCUACUAAAGCAUAAACAUUUCAUGCUUGCCCUCAUCCCCUAUAGUUUAGAUGUAGUUUUGGAGGAACCUCUUACAUGAAUAAAAGCAUUAGAGGAUGUAGGGUUGAUAAAUAAUUGAUAUCAUGCUUCUGUGUCCAUCAUGUUUUGGAUGCUUGGUUGGUUAUCUUAAAGCAUUGCUGUUUUGCUCUUUGCAUCCCUUGCUAUAAUUUUAGGCGUGCUCUUAAAUCAUAUAUAGGAUUAGGCAUGUGAGACAAUCAUAUACCUUUUGAUUUAUAACUUCAUUUGAAAAACCUUGACUUGUAAUUCCAUACAUACGAAGGAAAUGGUGCUAAGGCUGAAUAUGGAGAUAGAGAUUUGAACUCAUGUUCAGCUAAGUGAUGUAAGAAGCAUAAUGGAAAUUAAAUUUAGCCAUUUGGUUAGGUAAUAGUAUGUAUGUUGGCUUGAACUUGAAAGUUUUUGAAAUGUGGGGAUGGAAUCUUAUGGAAAGCCUUGAGGCUAACUGUUACACGAUUAGAUUUAUAUAUGUUCUUGUAUAUGGUUUGAGAAACAAAGUAUAUGUAGAAGAUUGGCAGCUUCCAUGUGAAGCCUGAAGUUCAUGUUGAGAGUUGCCUUAGAUGUCUCUUUGAGAUUGAGUACUUGUGUGCAAAGAUUGGAAGCAGGGAAAUGGUGAAAAGGGUAUUGUAUGGAAGAAAAUCUGGAAACUGGCCAUCAUGUGAGCAAAAAAAGAUUGUGCCACCCAACCGAUCAAGUGGUACCACUAACCGGCCAAUCAACUACGUAACAUGGACCCCACUACCUAAGGGCCAGUCUAUAGCCAUGCAGAGCCAAUCGAUUGGCACCUGAUCGAUUGGCACCUGGUCGAUCGUUCAUUCCCUUUGUUUGCAUUGUUAGCCUAUACUCCACUUUUUGAUCCCUUUGGAGCCUUAGAAGCAUAUGUUAGGUCCUUAAAACCCUUUUAGGAUUGUUAAUGGGUCUCAUUGAUAGCUUUAGAUCAUGUGGUUCUGGAAUAUGACUAAUUCAAUAUUUUAAUUAGAUUAAAUGAACAUACUAGACCAUGUUAACUGGUAGCUAGGUCAAUUUUACCUUCGGGGUUAAACCUUCAACCCCAAAAUUGUGGUUUGGCUUUUGGGUCAUUUGGAACCCUGGUUGGGACAACAUGGUACCAAAGCUUGAAGUUGCAAUAGUACUUUGGGAUUGUUUAUUUUACACAUGCUUACAUAGCUUUUGUUACAUAUUAUUAUUCUUAACCAUGAUUAUUAAUUGGAUAAGAUAUUAACAUGUGAUGAGAUGGUGAGAGUGUUGGAAUGGCACGCAUAUGUCUCAAUACGAUACACUGAACCCGUGAUGUUGAUUAGUUUUGUUAAAUGAUAUGUUGAGUGCUUGUUUGAUUAUUGCUUUGAAUUUCUUGCUAUAUUUGUAUUCUUGCUGCACCUCCUUGGUAAUCAUCCUUGAGGUUGACUUCAUUUGGGAAACUAUUGGAAACUAGCUGGCAUGGCAGGAAAAUCAAGGAGGGGUAGGCUCAGGCACCAUCACCAUUAUCAGUGGCAAAUUUGUUAGGAGAUGAGGUAUCUGAAUUAAGACAGAAGUUGAGGGAGAUGACCCAAGCUUUUAGCAAUCAAAGGUGGGGAGUAGCAGGAAACACCUUUUCAGUAAGAUGGUUCAGGGGCAUGUGACCUAGAGAGCCUCAAGCCAAGAUACACACGAGUCAAAUACAGUCAAUAAAAAGUUCAUGAGAAUGAUCCCUUUUUGUUUCAAUGGCUAGCUUAAUCUUAAGAGGGUUGAAAACUGGCUAAAGCAAAUUAAGAGAAUUAAUGUGCUUAUAGCACCCGAAGAUGAAAGACUCAGCUUGUCUACACAUGUAUGCUGGUGAGUAAGGCCAACAUUUGGUGGGCAAUGGAGAAAAGAGUUCAUGAUAGAGAUGUCAUGACUUUGGAACAGUUUGACGCAAUCGUCUUGGAUAAGUACUCUUCAUGCUAAGAGAAUGGCGUUUGGGGUUUGAUUCAGGGAAAUAUAUCAGUACAAGUAUAAAUCCAGAUUCUCAAAGCUAUCCAGAUUUCCCACCAAGAUGAUGUCGAAUGAAGAUGGGAAGGCAAAAAGGCUUGAAAAUGGCUGGGGCUUGCAAUCAAAGGCCGAGUAAUGGGAUUGGCCAUCAGGAAAUGUUAAAAGUUCGUGAGAAGAUAAUUAUUGAUCAAGCAAGGGAUAAAAAGCACCAACGAGACCCAAGAGCAGAGGUAACAGGAAGAGAAAGCAUAAAGUGGGAGAAUUGUCCAAGAAAGGAUCUCAACAGCAGCAUCAGUACUACCUACUUUUCAGCAGUCAGGAGAGGGUACAACCUAAGUGGUAUAUGCAUUUUUACAUCCUGAAGUUAAGCAAGAACACUGCUAUCUAGAUCAGUAUCGAGAUGCUGGAGGCAUUGGAGGCAGUGGGACUAUAUAAAUUUGCCCAUCCUAACAUAGGAUUAAACCUCCAAGCAAAAAACUCUGAUACACAUCAAGCUUGAAGAGCUCGAUACACAAUAUGAGCUUUGUUGUCAUAUAAGGCUUGGUCUAAUCCUCUAAAACUCUACCAUCAAGUGAUGACUCUCAAGCUGGGAAGCAUGCCCUUCCAAGCCCUAUUAUGGUCUUUCCUUCUAGCUUGAAAGGUUCAACUCUACUCUAUUUUCACCCUUCUAACUUAGGUCUUUUCUUAAAUUAAUUUAUGUUAGAUUUUUGUACCUCAACAUAGGUUUUCAAUGUGAAAGAAAAUGGUUUGACACACUCUUCCAUAAAAGCGUGAUGCACAGUCUAUCCAGGACCUCAUAAAGUGCUUUAGGAAUCAGUUCCUAUAGAUGGAAUGGUGUGAUGAAUCAGUAAUGGUAAAAGCAUUUAAACAUGAUUGCUUGUGAACUUAGAUUUAUCUCCAUAUCAAACAAUCCCUAGUUCCACUCAAAGAGUUGUUUGCUUGAACUAGUAAGUAUGGCACUCUCAAAGAACUAUAGGUAGUGCCACGAUAGCAUUUUGUCAAUAAUGCCUAGUUAGAGAGUGCGAGAAAGGAAAAGCCCUAGCAAGAUAGACCCAAGCAAAUAAGGGGAACAUGUCCCAAGUGUAUAAGAGAAAAAAAAGAAGAUAUGAUAAUGCCCCAAACUAACUUGAAUGCUAAUGUUACCAUUCUCAAUGCCUCAUAUGAUAAAACUAGCGCAAAAAUUCAGUGAAUGGAAGACUUUAAAUGCCUAGAAGUAAUGUAGAAAGCUCAAAGCACAAGUAAUCUUGUUUAUUAUGGUUUAAAAUGUAAAUGUAUCCAUCCAAAAAGAAAAAAAAAAAAAAGUAGUCUUGGUUAUUAUGGUAGAUCAGUUGGCCUAGCCUAGCAUAGAGCCUCAAGAUAAAGGGUUGAAUCGAUACAAGAUGACAUUAAGUGGAAAAAUAGAAAUUGGAAGGCAAAAUCAUAUGAGAAUGAACAUGCUCAAGCACCCCACAACAGAAUGAUGCGACUAAACAAGAAAAUCAACAUUUUGCAGAGAUGUGUUGAAGUAUGUUGGAUGGUGAACAUGUGGCUAGUAGAUUCCUAGCCAAAAAUUAUGAGGAGGACAAAUCAAAUAGAAAUACGGUACCAUACUCAAAAUUAUGAUCUAGGAUGAAAUGGUUAGGAGAGAUGAGCAAAGAACAAUUCUUUCUGAGUUUGAGUUUGGUUGGUAGGAUAAGAUAGGAUAUUAUUUUCUAUAAUAUUUUUUGAUAUUAUAUCUAGUAGAUUGCAAUAUCUGUGGAUGCAUAUUAUAUCCAGUGGAUAUUGACAUCCUAUGAUGGGAUAUCAUGUGAAAAAUGUUUUACCCUAUGCUUUGUCAUAGAUAUAAAAAAUAUAUUUCAUUUUAAUAAUAUGAAAAUUUAGGAUGUUAUAUUUAAUGAACGAUAUGUUGCCUAUCAGUAAAGGAACAAGAC